AGACAGGAAGGUGAGGUUCGAGCUCGAACCCACAGUGGAACCAUGCAGAUAAGGGUUAAAGCUCGCUAGGCAUCAAAUUAGCUUCCUGCUUCUGCCUCGGAGGAAACCGAGUCCUCCUGCCAAGGCCGAGGAUGUGUGCGGAAAGAGGGGAUUUUGACAGGAGCCCUUAAGAUGAUGUUUUGGUUGGGCUUUCUGAGGGGGUGGCUCUUCAAUCCACAGACCUGGAUGUCGCUCUGGUUGGAAGCCUUGGUCUGAAGUAGCAGGUGGAUUUUCAGGGGCGGUGGCUCAGAGGAAGAAAGCUGAUCACGAAUGACAGGAGACCAUUCAGCCCAGCUAGCCUAAGAAGACAAGAAAGAGGUCAGGAAGAUCCCGAACAAACCCACCUGAGCUCAGGAAUGGCAAGCGCAUGACACACAGACACACGAUACAGGACUGCAACUGGGAGCUGUGAGGCAGCAGAAAAAUCUCAGUGUGAGAAGCUGCACGUUUUCACCUGGCUUCUUGUCCGCUCGUAUUGCGAUCAAACAUGGUCAGAUUUGCCCUGCAGCUUGAGAAACCCACAGAAAAUAGCCUCAGUGUGAAAUAUUUCAUCCAGUCGAGCUACAGUGGGACAGGACAACAAUGCAGCGAAUGGAGGCCGGGCCUGUGAAGGCUCUUUCCUGGGCUGUGACGGUUCUGUGAGCCUGUACCACGUCACUAGUCCGCUGUGACCGAGGUCCCUCAUGUGGCGAAGCUCUCGUCUGAACCACAUUCUCCAGGAAGCAGUCUGCCGCCCGCAGUCACCUGACCAGUCAGUGAAAGAGAAUCGCUUGGGCGACAGUUUAAAAACCCUUAUCUACAGUAUAUAUAUGAUAUAAACCACAUGAGCCGGAUGUCCAUGCGCUGGGUGAAAUGAACACUGUGGCAUGGAGAUCCGGGAGCAGCAGUAAAUACCAGCGGGACGGGAUGUGGGAGCGACAAACGGUCCACCAGGGCUGCAGAUGCUCUGAUGAGGAUUGUGGAUCAGAAGGGUCAAAUUCUGCAUUUUAGUAGCAAUGUAUUCAACCAACAUCUGUCUCCAGAGAACAUUAAUAUUCAGUUCUAUUGCUUUUUACAUACAUACAUAUAUAUAUAUUUUAGGCUUUGAUAAAAAAGAAAACAUUUUGCUCCACGAGGGAUGUAUGUCAAAAGUAAAUCUCUGGCAUUUGUAUUUAUAGAUUUAUACUGCUUUAAUCACUGAAGAGAGUCUUUUUGUGGAUAGAUAAUGAUCCGCCAACAGCACAGGAUUUUGUAUAGCGGAGAUUAAGAAUUGAGAGUUUUCAAGUAGACGUUGUAUUAAUUACAAAUAAAGAGAUUAAAUAAUUACGGCUUGCUGU
This is a long non-coding RNA of Lepisosteus oculatus (spotted gar), 1355 nucleotides long. RefSeq lists it as uncharacterized. NCBI's taxonomy places the organism in Eukaryota, Metazoa, Chordata, Actinopteri, Semionotiformes, Lepisosteidae. The record is from RefSeq and is a predicted model, not a curated record.